UUAUCUGAACCUUCGGGGAACGAUAACGGCGUCGAGCGGCGGACGGGUGAGUAAUGCCUAGGAAAUUGCCUUGAUGUGGGGGAUAACCAUUGGAAACGAUGGCUAAUACCGCAURAUGCCUACGGGCCAAAGAGGGGGACCUUCGGGCCUCUCGCGUCAAGAUAUGCCUAGGUGGGAUUAGCUAGUUGGUGAGGUAAUGGCUCACCAAGGCGACGAUCCCUAGCUGGUCUGAGAGGAUGAUCAGCCACACUGGAACUGAGACACGGUCCAGACUCCUACGGGAGGCAGCAGUGGGGAAUAUUGCACAAUGGGCGCAAGCCUGAUGCAGCCAUGCCGCGUGUAUGAAGAAGGCCUUCGGGUUGUAAAGUACUUUCAGCCGUGAGGAAGGGGGUGUCGUUAAUAGCGGCAUYUCUUGACGUUAGCUGCAGAAGAAGCACCGGCUAACUCCGUGCCAGCAGCCGCGGUAAUACGGAGGGUGCGAGCGUUAAUCGGAAUUACUGGGCGUAAAGCGCAUGCAGGUGGUUUGUUAAGUCAGAUGUGAAAGCCCGGGGCUCAACCUCGGAACUGCAUUUGAAACUGGCAAACUAGAGUACUGUAGAGGGGGGUAGAAUUUCAGGUGUAGCGGUGAAAUGCGUAGAGAU
RNAcentral lists this ribosomal RNA (641 nucleotides) under Vibrio sp. RNAcentral's name for it is "bacterial SSU rRNA". Lineage: Bacteria; Pseudomonadati; Pseudomonadota; Gammaproteobacteria; Vibrionales; Vibrionaceae. The record is from RNAcentral.